GGUUAAGCGACUAAGCGUACACGGUGGAUGCCCUGGCAGUCAGAGGCGAUGAAGGACGUGCUAAUCUGCGAUAAGCGUCGGUAAGGUGAUAUGAACCGUUAUAACCGGCGAUUUCCGAAUGGGGAAACCCAGUGUGUUUCGACACACUAUCAUUAACUGAAUCCAUAGGUUAAUGAGGCGAACCGGGGGAACUGAAACAUCUAAGUACCCCGAGGAAAAGAAAUCAACCGAGAUUCCCCCAGUAGCGGCGAGCGAACGGGGAGCAGCCCAGAGCCUGAAUCAGUGUGUGUGUUAGUGGAAGCGUCUGGAAAGGCGCGCGAUACAGGGUGACAGCCCCGUACACAAAAAUGCACAUGCUGUGAGCUCGAUGAGUAGGGCGGGACACGUGGUAUCCUGUCUGAAUAUGGGGGGACCAUCCUCCAAGGCUAAAUACUCCUGACUGACCGAUAGUGAACCAGUACCGUGAGGGAAAGGCGAAAAGAACCCCGGCGAGGGGAGUGAAAAAGAACCUGAAACCGUGUACGUACAAGCAGUGGGAGCACGCUUAGGCGUGUGACUGCGUACCUUUUGUAUAAUGGGUCAGCGACUUAUAUUCUGUAGCAAGGUUAACCGAAUAGGGGAGCCGAAGGGAAACCGAGUCUUAACUGGGCGUUAAGUUGCAGGGUAUAGACCCGAAACCCGGUGAUCUAGCCAUGGGCAGGUUGAAGGUUGGGUAACACUAACUGGAGGACCGAACCGACUAAUGUUGAAAAAUUAGCGGAUGACUUGUGGCUGGGGGUGAAAGGCCAAUCAAACCGGGAGAUAGCUGGUUCUCCCCGAAAGCUAUUUAGGUAGCGCCUCGUGAAUUCAUCUCCGGGGGUAGAGCACUGUUUCGGCAAGGGGGUCAUCCCGACUUACCAACCCGAUGCAAACUGCGAAUACCGGAGAAUGUUAUCACGGGAGACACACGGCGGGUGCUAACGUCCGUCGUGAAGAGGGAAACAACCCAGACCGCCAGCUAAGGUCCCAAAGUCAUGGUUAAGUGGGAAACGAUGUGGGAAGGCCCAGACAGCCAGGAUGUUGGCUUAGAAGCAGCCAUCAUUUAAAGAAAGCGUAAUAGCUCACUGGUCGAGUCGGCCUGCGCGGAAGAUGUAACGGGGCUAAACCAUGCACCGAAGCUGCGGCAGCGACGCUUAUGCGUUGUUGGGUAGGGGAGCGUUCUGUAAGCCUGUGAAGGUGUGCUGUGAGGCAUGCUGGAGGUAUCAGAAGUGCGAAUGCUGACAUAAGUAACGAUAAAGCGGGUGAAAAGCCCGCUCGCCGGAAGACCAAGGGUUCCUGUCCAACGUUAAUCGGGGCAGGGUGAGUCGACCCCUAAGGCGAGGCCGAAAGGCGUAGUCGAUGGGAAACAGGUUAAUAUUCCUGUACUUGGUGUUACUGCGAAGGGGGGACGGAGAAGGCUAUGUUGGCCGGGCGACGGUUGUCCCGGUUUAAGCGUGUAGGCUGGUUUUCCAGGCAAAUCCGGAAAAUCAAGGCUGAGGCGUGAUGACGAGGCACUACGGUGCUGAAGCAACAAAUGCCCUGCUUCCAGGAAAAGCCUCUAAGCAUCAGGUAACAUCAAAUCGUACCCCAAACCGACACAGGUGGUCAGGUAGAGAAUACCAAGGCGCUUGAGAGAACUCGGGUGAAGGAACUAGGCAAAAUGGUGCCGUAACUUCGGGAGAAGGCACGCUGAUAUGUAGGUGAAGUCCCUCGCGGAUGGAGCUGAAAUCAGUCGAAGAUACCAGCUGGCUGCAACUGUUUAUUAAAAACACAGCACUGUGCAAACACGAAAGUGGACGUAUACGGUGUGACGCCUGCCCGGUGCCGGAAGGUUAAUUGAUGGGGUCAGCGCAAGCGAAGCUCUUGAUCGAAGCCCCGGUAAACGGCGGCCGUAACUAUAACGGUCCUAAGGUAGCGAAAUUCCUUGUCGGGUAAGUUCCGACCUGCACGAAUGGCGUAAUGAUGGCCAGGCUGUCUCCACCCGAGACUCAGUGAAAUUGAACUCGCUGUGAAGAUGCAGUGUACCCGCGGCAAGACGGAAAGACCCCGUGAACCUUUACUAUAGCUUGACACUGAACAUUGAGCCUUGAUGUGUAGGAUAGGUGGGAGGCUUUGAAGUGUGGACGCCAGUCUGCAUGGAGCCGACCUUGAAAUACCACCCUUUAAUGUUUGAUGUUCUAACGUUGACCCGUGAUCCGGGUUGCGGACAGUGUCUGGUGGGUAGUUUGACUGGGGCGGUCUCCUCCUAAAGAGUAACGGAGGAGCACGAAGGUUGGCUAAUCCUGGUCGGACAUCAGGAGGUUAGUGCAAUGGCAUAAGCCAGCUUGACUGCGAGCGUGACGGCGCGAGCAGGUGCGAAAGCAGGUCAUAGUGAUCCGGUGGUUCUGAAUGGAAGGGCCAUCGCUCAACGGAUAAAAGGUACUCCGGGGAUAACAGGCUGAUACCGCCCAAGAGUUCAUAUCGACGGCGGUGUUUGGCACCUCGAUGUCGGCUCAUCACAUCCUGGGGCUGAAGUAGGUCCCAAGGGUAUGGCUGUUCGCCAUUUAAAGUGGUACGCGAGCUGGGUUUAGAACGUCGUGAGACAGUUCGGUCCCUAUCUGCCGUGGGCGCUGGAGAA
Molecule: ribosomal RNA, 2635 nt
Filed under: Escherichia coli
Lineage: Bacteria; Pseudomonadati; Pseudomonadota; Gammaproteobacteria; Enterobacterales; Enterobacteriaceae
Description: partial 23S ribosomal RNA
Rfam family: Bacterial large subunit ribosomal RNA
Source: RNAcentral